AUAUUUUACUUUUUUAUACUUCAGUUGUUGGUCAUUCAAAGUAAAUAUUGUUGUAGUAAUAUAUUGUUUGUUUGCCUCUAGGAGCUCCUCCAAGAAGCUUGACUCAAAGGAAGCGGGAUUCUGCUAUGAACUCCAAUGUGCCAGUUUUGGAAGGUCAGUCUGUUUUUUUUAGACAAAAACAUAGCCUUCAGUUCAAAUAUAUUAAUAAUCACUUAUCAGAAAAGUCCAGUGCUAUAUAUCUAACCAUAUUGUAUGGCAUGGUUCCAUACAAAACCCUCAGUUAUUCAAGUGCUUAAUUUGGAUUUGUUCUUUCAACAUGGAUUUGGGAAGAAGGCAGGGUCUCUCAAAAUCAAACUGAAACGAAACUCAGUUUCAUUCUUCAUUUCAACCUUUCAUGCAUGACAGUGGAACCAGUCAAUGUCUAAUGCAAGUGCCCAUGAUGGCUGGACAUGUGAUGUGCAUAUACUUGCCAAAAGUUCUGUAGUUGAAUUCUUCAAGGCAGAUGGACCAAGUUAAGACAGAAAUUGUUAUGAUAUAAAAGGAAGAGUAAUCAGGAGUAUCAUUUUGACUUCAAAAUGAUAUCAGGGUCAAUUUGAUUUCUCUGUUAAGCCUGCUCUUAUCACCUGCAUUCAAUUGCAUUGGAUUAUAAAGCUUUGAAACACAACAAAGUGAUCAAAAUUUAUGAUGUUAGAUGAAUUUAUCUUAUUGAAUUGGAUGUUGUCUAUGGGGAUGAAGGGGAAGUGGAUAUGAAAGAAAUCGGUAGGAUUUGUCAAGAUGUCUCAUGAUUCCCAAACAGUGGCUAGUUUGAAAUCGUUAUUGGGGGUCUUCCUGCUCGUCAUAAGCUUGAAUUUGUGUUUUGCUGGUGUUCAUCAUAGAUGGUUCUCAAUGUUCAUUGACUUCUCACAAAUGUGGUCUCAGAUGCUUCUAUGAAGAAAGAAAUCAAAAGAAUUGCUAGCACCCGCAGCUAUACAAGUUUGAAGAAACUAUUUUCACUGUAUGAGAAAUGGUCGGAUUCUAUUCUUUCAUCAUAACUUAUCUACAAAAUGCAAUGGCAGGGAUAUCUGAACCUGGAAAUAACGAGAACUCACCAAUUAAAGCCACGAUCUACAAAGGAUAAGGCAGGAUAAAGAAAAAAAGUCUUGAGAGAACACAAGAACUAGUUGCUAUGAGAAGAUGGCGGCAGUACACAAUUAUUUGAUCUAGCAGGAGUUACCUGAGUUCCAACAAAUGAAGAGCCAACUGGGUAAAUACUGCUCUGCUGUUGAUGUACUCUGGGAAUGAAGGCCCAAAGAAUGAUAUUAUGGAGAUAAAGAUCAAUUUUAUUCUA
This is a long non-coding RNA of Musa acuminata AAA Group (dessert banana), 1327 nucleotides long. RefSeq lists it as uncharacterized. NCBI's taxonomy places the organism in Eukaryota, Viridiplantae, Streptophyta, Magnoliopsida, Zingiberales, Musaceae. The record is from RefSeq and is a predicted model, not a curated record. The transcript is spliced from 2 exons.